RNAcentral lists this unclassified non-coding RNA (329 nucleotides) under soil metagenome. Its description in RNAcentral is "partial contains 5.8S ribosomal RNA, internal transcribed spacer 2, and large subunit ribosomal RNA". The stretch from base 1 to 120 matches the Rfam family "5.8S ribosomal RNA", at positions 35 to 154 of the family's 154-position model. The record is from RNAcentral.
GAUGAAGAACGUAGCGAAAGGCGAUAAGUAAUGUGAAUUACAGAAUUCAGUGAAUCAUCGAAUCUUUGAACGCACAUUGCGCCCCUUGGUAUUCCGAGGGGCAUGCCUGUUCGAGCGUCAUUAUAACCCCUCAAGCUCAGCUUGGUGUUGGGGCCUGCUGCACUGGCAGCCCUUAAAAUCAGUGGCGGCGCCAUCUGGCUCUAAGCGUAGUAAUUCUUCUCGCUAUGGAGUCCUGGUGGAUGCUUGCCAUCAACCCCCAAUUUUUCUAUGGUUGACCUCGGAUCAGGUAGGGAUACCCGCUGAACUUAAGCAUAUCAAUAAGCGGAGGA